This 72-nucleotide transfer RNA is filed under the name Ictidomys tridecemlineatus (thirteen-lined ground squirrel). Its description in RNAcentral is "Spermophilus tridecemlineatus (thirteen-lined ground squirrel) tRNA". It matches the Rfam family "tRNA". From Rfam's summary of the family: Transfer RNA (tRNA) molecules are approximately 80 nucleotides in length. The record is from Rfam by way of RNAcentral. Lineage: Eukaryota; Metazoa; Chordata; Mammalia; Rodentia; Sciuridae.
UGGGGGGUAGCUCAGUGGUAGAGCAUUUGCCGAGCAAGUGCAAGUCUCUGAGUUCAAUCCCCAGCACUGCAA